This 207-nucleotide ribosomal RNA is filed under the name uncultured bacterium. Its description in RNAcentral is "partial 16S ribosomal RNA". It matches the Rfam family "Bacterial small subunit ribosomal RNA", at positions 568 to 774 of the family's 1533-position model. The record is from RNAcentral.
CGUGUAGCCGGGAGGGCAAGUCAGAUGUGAAAUCCACGGGCUCAACUCGUGAACUGCAUUUGAAACUACUCUUCUUGAGUAUCGGAGAGGCAAUCGGAAUUCCUAGUGUAGCGGUGAAAUGCGUAGAUAUUGGGAGGAACACCAGUGGCGAAGGCGCCUUUCUGGACUGUGUCUGACGCUGAGAUGCGAAAGCCAGGGUAGCGAACG